RNAcentral lists this ribosomal RNA (719 nucleotides) under bacterium PI.18. Its description in RNAcentral is "bacterial SSU rRNA". It matches the Rfam family "Bacterial small subunit ribosomal RNA", at positions 64 to 829 of the family's 1533-position model. The record is from RNAcentral.
GAACGGAUCCUUCGGGAUUAGUGGCAGACGGGUGAGUAACGCGUGGGAAGCUACCUUGUGGUAGGGAACAACAGUUGGAAACGACUGCUAAUACCCUAUGAGCCCUAUGGGGGAAAGAUUUAUCGCCAUGAGAUGUGCCCGCGUUAGAUUAGCUAGUUGGUAAGGUAAUGGCUUACCAAGGCGACGAUCUAUAGCUGGUCUGAGAGGAUGAUCAGCCACACUGGGACUGAGACACGGCCCAGACUCCUACGGGAGGCAGCAGUGGGGAAUAUUGGACAAUGGGGGCAACCCUGAUCCAGCCAUGCCGCGUGAGUGAUGACGGCCUUAGGGUUGUAAAGCUCUUUCAGCAGUGAAGAUAAUGACAUUAACUGCAGAAGAAGCCCCGGCUAACUUCGUGCCAGCAGCCGCGGUAAUACGAAGGGGGCUAGCGUUGUUCGGAAUCACUGGGCGUAAAGCGUACGUAGGCGGACUGAUCAGUCAGGGGUGAAAUCCCGGGGCUCAACCCCGGAACUGCCUUUGAUACUGUCAGUCUUGAGAUCGAGAGAGGUGAGUGGAACUCCGAGUGUAGAGGUGAAAUUCGUAGAUAUUCGGAAGAACACCAGUGGCGAAGGCGGCUCACUGGCUCGAUACUGACGCUGAGGUACGAAAGCNUGGGGAGCAAACAGGAUUAGAUACCCUGGUAGUCCANGCCGUAAACGAUGAAUGCUAGUUGUCAGGUA